This 253-nucleotide ribosomal RNA is filed under the name uncultured bacterium. RNAcentral's name for it is "partial 16S ribosomal RNA". It matches the Rfam family "Bacterial small subunit ribosomal RNA", at positions 524 to 776 of the family's 1533-position model. The record is from RNAcentral.
UACGUAGGGUGCGAGCGUUGCCCGGAUUUAUUGGGCGUAAAGGGCGCGUAGGCGGUCACGCACGUCCGUUGUGAAAUCGCUCGGCUCAACUGGGCGGGGUCAGCGGAUACGGCGUGGCUGGAGCAAGCUAGGGGGCAAUGGAAUUCCACGUGUAGCAGUGAAAUGCGUAGAGAUGUGGAGGAACACCGAUGGCGAAGGCAGCCCCCUGGGUCAAGAUUGACGCUCAUGCACGAAAGCGUGGGGAGCAAACAGG